AAGACCUUGCACUUUUGGAGCGGCCGAUGUCUGAUUAGCUAGUUGGUGGGGUAAUGGCCUACCAAAGCUUCGAUCAGUAGCUGGUCUGAGAGGACGGCCAGCCACACUGGGACUGAGGCACGGCCCAGACUCCUACGGGAGGCAGCAGUGGGGAAUUUUGGACAAUGGGCGCAAGCCUGAUCCAGCCAUGCCGCGUGAGUGAAGAAGGCCUUCGGGUUGUAAAGCUCUUUCAGCCGGGAAGAAAAGGUUGCGACUAAUAAUCGCAAUCCAUGACGGUACCGAAAGAAGAAGCACCGGCUAACUACGUGCCAGCAGCCGCGGUAAUACGUUGGGUGCGAGCGUUAAUCGGAAUUACUGGGCGUAAAGGGUGCGCAGGCGGUUUUGUAAGUCAGAUGUGAAAUCCCCGGGCUUAACCUGGGAACU
RNAcentral lists this ribosomal RNA (423 nucleotides) under uncultured bacterium. Its description in RNAcentral is "bacterial SSU rRNA". It matches the Rfam family "Bacterial small subunit ribosomal RNA", at positions 207 to 622 of the family's 1533-position model. The record is from RNAcentral.